This is a long non-coding RNA of Mytilus trossulus (common blue mussel), 880 nucleotides long. RefSeq lists it as uncharacterized. Lineage: Eukaryota; Metazoa; Mollusca; Bivalvia; Mytilida; Mytilidae. The record is from RefSeq and is a predicted model, not a curated record. The transcript has 3 exons.
GUUCAUGUUGUAGCCGACAGAUAUUGGACUGGUGCAUCAGAUCAGACUGCUGAAGGCACGCCUACCUUCGAACUUGGAUCUUUAGGCGCAUUAACUCUUUCACCUGAUAGCAAUGGUGCUAAUUCAGACUGUGUAGCAUAUGAACCAGGAGACGAUUUAAUUUACAGAACAUGUCAAACUCAAAGAAAAUGCGUUUGUGAGAUACAGAUUCCCUGUGCAACUCAAAACUAGACAGAAACGAUAAAAGACCGUCAUUGAACAUCUAAGCUGCUAUAAAUAACUCAUCUACCCUUAUGAUCCUUUCCGAAUAACUUGAGAAGUUGUAAUUGUAUAGUGGCAGCACCCUUUUGUAAUGAAAUAUAUACUAAUUACCAUUCUGCCUUGUUUUAUCAUCUCUUUUUGUAGAUUGUACUUAUUUGAACUAUAGUUAUGAUUUUACAACUGAGCGUAGACAAUUGUGAUCGAAGCGUUUUCUGAUCUGCCUUCUUUAGUUAUAUGGCUACGUUGUAACUUUAAAAAUCAUUAGAAUUCAUAAAAAUGUCUUCUGUAUAUUGUUGAUAUCACUAGAUGAAGAUCUUUGUUGAUUAAUGAUGUAUCUCUGUGUAUUGUUGAUAUCACUAGAUGAAGAUCUUAGUUUAUUAAUGAUGUAUCUCUGUGUAUUGUUGAUAUCACUAGAUGAAAAUCUUUGUUGAUUAAUGAUGUAUCUCUGUGUAUUGUUGAUAUUACUGGAUGAAAUGCUUAGUUUAUUAAUGAUGUAUCUCUGUGUAUUGUUGAUAUCACUAGACAAUUGUGAUCGAAGCGUUUUCUGAUCUGCCUUCUUUAGUUAUAUGGCUACGUUGUAACUUUAAAAAUCAUUAGAAUUCAUUAAAAAUUUCUUCUG